This 456-nucleotide ribosomal RNA is filed under the name uncultured bacterium. Its description in RNAcentral is "partial 16S ribosomal RNA". It matches the Rfam family "Bacterial small subunit ribosomal RNA", at positions 339 to 795 of the family's 1533-position model. The record is from RNAcentral.
CUACGGGUGGCUGCAGUGAGGAAUAUUGCGCAAUGGACGAAAGUCUGACGCAGCAACGCCGCGUGCGGGAUGAAGGCCUUAUGGGUCGUAAACCGCUGUAGCAGGGGAAAAAUAUCCCGGUCUCCGGGAUUGAUGGUACCCUGAAAGUAAGCCUCGGCUAACUACGUGCCAGCAGCCGCGGUAAUACGUAGGAGGCGAGCGUUGUCCGGAUUUACUGGGUGUAAAGGGUCCGCAGGCGGGCUUUUAAGUCGGUGGUGAAAUCCUACAGCUUAACUGUAGAACUGCCUCCGAUACUGAAAGUCUUGAAGUCGGGAGAGGGUAACGGAAUUCCAGGUGUAGCGGUGAAAUGCUUAGAUAUCUGGAAGAACACCGGUUGCGAAGGCUGUUGCCUGGCCCGAAAUUGACGCUCAUGGACGAAAGCGUGGGGAUCAAACAGGAUUAGAUACCCGCGUAGUC